GAUGAACGCUGGCGGCGUGCCUAAUACAUGCAAGUCGAGCGAACAGAUGAGGAGCUUGCUCCUCUGACGUUAGCGGCGGACGGGUGAGUAACACGUGGAUAACCUACCUAUAAGACUGGGAUAACUUCGGGAAACCGGAGCUAAUACCGGAUAAUAUAUUGAACCGCAUGGUUCAAUAGUGGAAGACGGUUUUGCUGUCACUUAUAGAUGGAUCCGCGCCGCAUUAGCUAGUUGGUAAGGUAACGGCUUACCAAGGCAACGAUGCGUAGCCGACCUGAGAGGGUGAUCGGCCACACUGGAACUGAGACACGGUCCAGACUCCUACGGGAGGCAGCAGUAGGGAAUCUUCCGCAAUGGGCGAAAGCUUGACGGAGCAACGCCGCGUGAGUGAUGAAGGUCUUCGGAUCGUAAAACUCUGUUAUUAGGGAAGAACAAAUGUGUAAGUAACUAUGCACGUCUUGACGGUACCUAAUCAGAAAGCCACGGCUAACUACGUG
This 497-nucleotide ribosomal RNA is filed under the name uncultured bacterium. RNAcentral's name for it is "partial 16S ribosomal RNA". It matches the Rfam family "Bacterial small subunit ribosomal RNA", at positions 28 to 507 of the family's 1533-position model. The record is from RNAcentral.